RNAcentral lists this ribosomal RNA (945 nucleotides) under Mycolicibacterium neoaurum. Its description in RNAcentral is "bacterial SSU rRNA". It matches the Rfam family "Bacterial small subunit ribosomal RNA", at positions 55 to 1014 of the family's 1533-position model. Lineage: Bacteria; Bacillati; Actinomycetota; Actinomycetes; Mycobacteriales; Mycobacteriaceae. The record is from RNAcentral.
AUGCAAGUCGAACGGAAAGGCCCUUCGGGGUACUCGAGUGGCGAACGGGUGAGUAACACGUGGGUGAUCUGCCCUGCACUUUGGGAUAAGCCUGGGAAACUGGGUCUAAUACCGAAUAUGAUCAUCGGCUUCAUGGUCGGUGGUGGAAAGCUUUUGCGGUGUGGGAUGGGCCCGCGGCCUAUCAGCUUGUUGGUGGGGUAAUGGCCUACCAAGGCGACGACGGGUAGCCGGCCUGAGAGGGUGACCGGCCACACUGGGACUGAGAUACGGCCCAGACUCCUACGGGAGGCAGCAGUGGGGAAUAUUGCACAAUGGGCGCAAGCCUGAUGCAGCGACGCCGCGUGAGGGAUGACGGCCUUCGGGUUGUAAACCUCUUUCAGCACAGACGAAGCGCAAGUGACGGUAUGUGCAGAAGAAGGACCGGCCAACUACGUGCCAGCAGCCGCGGUAAUACGUAGGGUCCGAGCGUUGUCCGGAAUUACUGGGCGUAAAGAGCUCGUAGGUGGUUUGUCGCGUUGUUCGUGAAAACUCACAGCUUAACUGUGGGCGUGCGGGCGAUACGGGCAGACUAGAGUACUGCAGGGGAGACUGGAAUUCCUGGUGUAGCGGUGGAAUGCGCAGAUAUCAGGAGGAACACCGGUGGCGAAGGCGGGUCUCUGGGCAGUAACUGACGCUGAGGAGCGAAAGCGUGGGGAGCGAACAGGAUUAGAUACCCUGGUAGUCCACGCCGUAAACGGUGGGUACUAGGUGUGGGUUUCCUUCCUUGGGAUCCGUGCCGUAGCUAACGCAUUAAGUACCCCGCCUGGGGAGUACGGCCGCAAGGCUAAAACUCAAAGGAAUUGACGGGGGCCCGCACAAGCGGCGGAGCAUGUGGAUUAAUUCGAUGCAACGCGAAGAACCUUACCUGGGUUUGACAUGCACAGGACGCUGGUAGAGAUAUCAGUU